This 782-nucleotide non-coding RNA is filed under the name Callitettix braconoides. The record is from RNAcentral. Lineage: Eukaryota; Metazoa; Arthropoda; Insecta; Hemiptera; Cercopidae.
UAAAGUUUGAUUCUUGCUUUAAACUUAGUUCUAUCAAUAAUUUACAUGUAAAUUUUUGUGAGUAUAAAUUAUUUCUAAAUGAUUAUUUUUUAAUUCGCAGUAUUUAGUUCUAAAAAUUUACUUUUGUUUGAUAUUGUUAAUUGAUUAUUUAAAUGACUAAUUUUGUGCCAGCAUUCGCGGUUAAACAAUUAUUUAUUAUUAAGUUUUUAUCUUUUAGUAUUUUGUUAUUUUAGAUUUAUUUUUAUUAAUUAAUUAGGUGAAAUUAUUUAUUAGUUUUUUUUCUUAUUUAUAAGUUUGUCUAAGAAAUUUUUUUUAAGACUAGGAUUAGAUACCCUAUUAUUUUAAAUGUAAAUUUUAUAGAUUGAUUAUUAUUAGCUAUGAUCUUUAAAUUCAAAGAAUUUGGCGGUAAUUAAGUCUUUUUAGAGGAAUCUGUUUCGUAAUUGAUAAUCCACGAUUGAUUAUACUUUUAUUAUACUUGUAUAUCUCUGUCAUUGAAUGUAUUAUAAGAUUAAUAUUUUCUUUAUUCCUUAAAUUUGGAUUAAUGUCAGGUCAAGGUGCAGUUUAUAUUUAAGUGAUUAAUGGAUUACAUUAUUUGUAUUUUGGAUUUUAUUUUGUAAUAAAUUAUUUGAUAUUGGAUUUAAUAGUAAUUUUAAAUAGUAAUUUUAUUUUGAUUAUUGGCUCUUGAUUAUGUACAUAUCGCCCGUCAUUCUCAUUAAUUUGGGACAAGUCGUAACAAAGUAAUUUUACCGGAAGGUGAAGUUAGAAAGUUUUUAUGUUUAUAU